UCCCUGAUGGUCCAGUGGCUAAGACUCUGCACUCCCAAUGCAGGGGCCAGGGUCCAAUCCCUGGUCAGGGAA
Non-coding RNA from Bos taurus (domestic cattle), 72 nucleotides. NCBI's taxonomy places the organism in Eukaryota, Metazoa, Chordata, Mammalia, Artiodactyla, Bovidae. The record is from Rfam.